RNAcentral lists this long non-coding RNA (1141 nucleotides) under Arabidopsis lyrata. RNAcentral describes it as "long non-coding RNA (ALYR_LNC000672)". The record is from RNAcentral. Lineage: Eukaryota; Viridiplantae; Streptophyta; Magnoliopsida; Brassicales; Brassicaceae.
CAGGCUGGUAGCUAUCAAACAUCAAAAACGUACCGCUGUCGCCAAUAGAAACAUGAUCUAAGCAUGCCGUACGCACAGGACAGUCCAUUUUUUGAAGUGGAAUAUGAAACCAGCGCUGAAUCUUGACCACAACUUCAUUACCACUUGCAAGCAAAUCAUAUGUUUCAUCUCUAUAGUAGCAGAAACUAAGCACGAUGUCUUCAAGAUUUAAACCCAUGAAUGAGACAAUUGUGAAGUAAUUCUCAUAACGAUAACCCAACAUCCACAACUCAGUUAAGCUAACCUCGUUACGCUUAAUUUGAGUUACUCAACUCUAAGACACAGAUUGAUCCCGACCAACUUCUCAUCUAGGGAGAAUCAUCACGUAGGAUUCUCUUUCCCAAUUUCUUUUCACUCUUGGCUUUCUCUCAGCAGUGCAUGCACAACCAGACCAGCGUUGAUUAACCACCGAUCUAGUGUUUCAGUAGAGCAUAGAAACUUCACAUCCUUGUUUCUUUUUGAAUCACAGCAAACCAUCCUUUGAAACAUGCAUAUCAAUUAUCUCCACCUAAAAACAGAAAUCUGCUUGUUUCUUCAUCUUUCUGCAAACAACUUUUCUUUUCAUCAAACAAGCCUCUUUUCUAACACAAAAGAGCACAGAGUAUGCAGAAGCAUCAAACUCAGACAAUGAAGCCAUGUUAUCACUUUGAUGAUGAAAGCCCAACUCCGUCAGCCACGUGAUUCUUUUUAACCAAAUGAAGGCUUCAUAUAUUUUGUGAUCUGUCACUUAUAAUGGAAAGAUUCUCUUUCUUGACACUUCAUAAACUUCAUUCCAAAAAUCUUCAACUUGAAAGAAAAAAAAAAAUUUGCAAGACACAGCUUUAGAGGUCUCCAAAUCAACUACUCUGAACCGCCAUCAUUCUACUCUGUUCUCGGACUCCGAAUCCAAUGCCCUCCUACCAGAAUCUAGCUCCGUAAGUCUAGAAUGUCUCUGCACAAUUUCAUUUUAUUUCGAGUUUAAUUGGUCGCCCAUUUGAUGUCUCCACUAUAACUGGUCAGAUCUGAAACUUCAGCUGACAUGUGCCCGGAACAGAUUGAACACGCUCGAAUAAAACGCAAUCCAACUGUCAAAAAAUUAAUCUCACCGUUGACACUUUAGACA